Molecule: ribosomal RNA, 253 nt
Filed under: uncultured bacterium
Lineage: Bacteria
Description: partial 16S ribosomal RNA
Rfam family: Bacterial small subunit ribosomal RNA
Source: RNAcentral
UACGGAGGGUGCGAGCGUUGUCCGGAAUCAUUGGGCGUAAAGAGCGUGUAGGCGGCUCGGUAAGUCCGCUCUGAAAGCCCGGGGCUCAACCCCGGGAGGCGGGCGGAUACUGUCGGGCUAGAGUCCGGAAGAGGCGAGUGGAAUUCCUGGUGUAGCGGUGAAAUGCGCAGAUAUCAGGAGGAACACCAAUGGCGAAGGCAGCUCGCUGGGACGGUACUGACGCUGAGACGCGAAAGCGUGGGGAGCAAACAGG